RNAcentral lists this ribosomal RNA (491 nucleotides) under uncultured bacterium. RNAcentral's name for it is "partial 16S ribosomal RNA". It matches the Rfam family "Bacterial small subunit ribosomal RNA", at positions 28 to 507 of the family's 1533-position model. The record is from RNAcentral.
GAUGAACGCUGGCUACAGGCUUAACAAAUGCAAGUCGAGGGGAAACGACGGGGAAGCUUGCUUCCCCGGGCGUCGACCGGCGCACGGGUGAGUAACGCGUAUCCAACCUGCCUCUGACUGAGGGAUAACCCGUCGAAAGUCGGCCUAAUACCUCAUGGUAUCGUCUGCGGGCAUCCAACGACGAUUAAAGAUUUCAUCGGUCAGGGAUGGGGAUGCGUCUGAUUAGCUUGUUGGCGGGGUAACGGCCCACCAAGGCUACGAUCAGUAGGGGUUCUGAGAGGAAGGUCCCCCACAUUGGAACUGAGACACGGUCCAAACUCCUACGGGAGGCAGCAGUGAGGAAUAUUGGUCAAUGGGCGAGAGCCUGAACCAGCCAAGUAGCGUGCAGGAAGACGGCCCUAUGGGUUGUAAACUGCUUUUAUGCGGGGAUAAAGUGAGGGACGUGUCCCUCAUUGCAGGUACCGCAUGAAUAAGGACCGGCUAAUUCCGUG